RNAcentral lists this ribosomal RNA (494 nucleotides) under uncultured bacterium. Its description in RNAcentral is "partial 16S ribosomal RNA". It matches the Rfam family "Bacterial small subunit ribosomal RNA", at positions 29 to 507 of the family's 1533-position model. The record is from RNAcentral.
ACGCACGCUGGCGGCGUGCCUAAUACAUGCAAGUAGAACGCUGAAGGAGGAGCUUGCUCUUCUGGAUGAGUUGCGAACGGGUGAGUAACGCGUAGGUAACUUGCCUGGUAGCGGGGGAUAACUAUUGGAAACGAUAGCUAAUACCGCAUAACAGUAGAUGUUGCAUGACAUUUGCUUAAAAGGUGCAAUUGCACCACUACCAGAUGGACCUGCGUUGUAUUAGCUAGUUGGUGGGGUAACGGCUCACCAAGGCGACGAUACAUAGCCGACCUGAGAGGGUGAUCGGCCACACUGGGACUGAGACACGGCCCAGACUCCUACGGGAGGCUGCAGUAGGGAAUCUUCGGCAAUGGACGGAAGUCUGACCGAGCAACGCCGCGUGAGUGAAGAAGGUUUUCGGAUCGUAAAGCUCUGUUGUAAGAGAAGAACGAGUGUGAGAGUGGAAAGUUCACACUGUGACGGUAUCUUACCAGAAAGGGACGGCUAACUACGUG